GCAUGCCUAGCACAUGCAGUCGAACGGUAGCACAGAGGAGCUUGCUCCUUGGGUGACGAGUGGCGGACGGGUGAGUAAUGUCUGGGAAACUGCCCGAUGGAGGGGGAUAACUACUGGAAACGGUAGCUAAUACCGCAUAACGUCGCAAGACCAAAGAGGGGGACCUUCGGGCCUCUUGCCAUCGGAUGUGCCCAGAUGGGAUUAGCUAGUAGGUGGGGUAACGGCUCACCUAGGCGACGAUCCCUAGCUGGUCUGAGAGGAUGACCAGCCACACUGGAACUGAGACACGGUCCAGACUCCUACGGGAGGCAGCAGUGGGGAAUAUUGCACAAUGGGCGCAAGCCUGAUGCAGCCAUGCCGCGUGUAUGAAGAAGGCCUUCGGGUUGUAAAGUACUUUCAGCGAGGAGGAAGGCGUUGUGGUUAAUAACCGCAGCGAUUGACGUUACUCGCAGAAGAAGCACCGACAAACUCCGUGCCAGCAGCCGCGGAAAUACGGAGGGUGCAAGCGUUAAUCGGAAUUACUGGGCGUAAAGCGCACGCAGGCGGUCUGUCAAGUCGGAUGUGAAAUCCCCGGGCUCAACCUGGGAACUGCAUCCGAAACUGGCAGGCUAGAGUCUUGUAGAGGGGUGUAGAAUUCCAGGUG
Molecule: ribosomal RNA, 643 nt
Filed under: Citrobacter freundii
Lineage: Bacteria; Pseudomonadati; Pseudomonadota; Gammaproteobacteria; Enterobacterales; Enterobacteriaceae
Description: bacterial SSU rRNA
Rfam family: Bacterial small subunit ribosomal RNA
Source: RNAcentral